CAUCCAAAUAAAUUGUCUAAAUAGAUGUGCAAAUUAGUAAUCUAAAUUAUCACAAAGUGUGCACAAUUUAGAUGCUAAGCAAUUGUCAAAAUACAAAAAAUAAAGUUAAACAAAUGCAAAAUAAAGUUGCAAAAUAGAUUCUAAGCAAUUUUUGUCGUCUUUUUCCAAUGAUGGUGCGCCUUUUCUUCAACUUCAUCCAUAAGUUGAUUGUAGCUACUAUGAACCACAUCUAGCGCAAGCUUCAUCCUUGCAUCUUGGCAUACCUGUGUGCAUACAAUAAAAAUGUUAGAUAAAAACUAUGCAAUAACUUGCAUAACCAAAUAAAAAAAUUAAAUGCAAAACAGAAUAUUAUUAAAGGGAAAAUAUUUUUAUUUAGCAAACUCACUCUAUUAUUUUAACAAAUUUCUCUUCUUUGUUUUUUUUUUAUUUUUUAUUUUUAAGUUUGUCUGGAGUAGACAUUAAAAUAAACACACAGUGCUCACUUGUGUAAAGUUAUAGUUAUCAUUCACGCUACAUUCUUGCAUCCAAGCUGCAACCCAGACUCCACAAUCGUUACUAUAAAUUAAAUAUAAAAUUAAAAUUAGAAUAAUAGUAGUGGAUUUUAUUCACUUUAAAGAAAGAUGAAUAAAUAAAUGAAAGAAAAUUACGAUCCACAAUUCUGGCUUGGGAACCCUCUAGGUUCUG
This 684-nucleotide long non-coding RNA is filed under the name Trifolium pratense (red clover). RNAcentral's name for it is "long non-coding RNA (TPRA_LNC003889)". Lineage: Eukaryota; Viridiplantae; Streptophyta; Magnoliopsida; Fabales; Fabaceae. The record is from RNAcentral.